RNAcentral lists this ribosomal RNA (496 nucleotides) under uncultured bacterium. Its description in RNAcentral is "partial 16S ribosomal RNA". It matches the Rfam family "Bacterial small subunit ribosomal RNA", at positions 28 to 506 of the family's 1533-position model. The record is from RNAcentral.
GAUGAACGCUGGCGGCGUGCCUAAUACAUGCAAGUCGAGCGAACAGACGAGGAGCUUGCUCCUCUGACGUUAGCGGCGGACGGGUGAGUAACACGUGGAUAACCUACCUAUAAGACUGGGAUAACUUCGGGAAACCGGAGCUAAUACCGGAUAAUAUAUUGAACCGCAUGGUUCAAUAGUGAAAGACGGUUUUGCUGUCACUUAUAGAUGGAUCCGCGCCGCAUUAGCUAGUUGGUAAGGUAACGGCUUACCAAGGCGACGAUGCGUAGCCGACCUGAGAGGGUGAUCGGCCACACUGGAACUGAGACACGGUCCAGACGCCUACGGGAGGCAGCAGUAGGGAAUCUGCCGCAAUGGGCGAAAGCCUGACGGAGCAACGCCGCGUGAGUGAUGAAGGUCUUCGGAUCGUAAAACUCUGUUAUUAGGGAAGAACAAAUGUGUAAGUAACUAUGCACGUCUUGACGGUACCUAAUCAGAAAGCCACGGCUAACUACGU